ACAGAUCGUUCAGAGUUUGAUCCUGGCUCAGGAUGAACGCUGGCGGCGUGCAUAACACAUUCAAGUCGAACGGAGUUGUUGGAAUUAAUCCUUCGGGAAGCGUAAAGACAACUUAGUGGCGGACGGGUGAGUAACGCGUGAGCAACCUGCCUCUGUAUAUGGGAUAACGUUUGGAAACGGACGCUAAUACCGUAUGAAGCAUAGACACCGCAUGAUGACUAUGCCAAAGAUUUUAUUGUACAGAGAUGGGCUCGCGUCUGAUUAGGUAGUUGGUGGGGUAACGGCCCACCAAGCCGACGAUCAGUAGCCGGACUGAGAGGUUGAACGGCCACAUUGGAACUGAGAUACGGUCCAG
This 355-nucleotide ribosomal RNA is filed under the name uncultured bacterium. Its description in RNAcentral is "bacterial SSU rRNA". It matches the Rfam family "Bacterial small subunit ribosomal RNA", at positions 1 to 334 of the family's 1533-position model. The record is from RNAcentral.